This 3022-nucleotide long non-coding RNA is filed under the name Brassica napus (rape). RNAcentral's name for it is "long non-coding RNA (BNAP_LNC001390)". Lineage: Eukaryota; Viridiplantae; Streptophyta; Magnoliopsida; Brassicales; Brassicaceae. The record is from RNAcentral.
CCGUCUUCCUCCAGCUCUCAAGACCAACAAACCCUAAAGUGCCCUCGCUGCAACUCCUCAAACACAAAGUUCUGUUACUACAACAACUACAACCUCUCUCAACCUCGUCAUUUCUGCAAAUCUUGCCGCCGUUACUGGACACGUGGCGGUGCCUUAAGAAACGUCCCCAUCGGUGGCGGUUGUCGGAAAACCAAAAAAUCAUUCAAACCUAACACAUCAACUCCUUCGUGUCAGAGAUUUUACUCUUCAGUCAUGGAAGAUUCCUCCAAGUUUUUCCCUCCUCCAACAACAAUGGGUUUUCAACUUAUGAAUAAUCAAGAAGUUCUUGGCCUUAGGCCCAUGGAGCAGGCCGAAACAACACCCGUUGAUGUCAGGUCGGGAUUAUCGUUAAUGGGUUUCGGAGACUACAGCAACCAUUCUCCGGCGACUUUCUCAACCGCAGGAACCCUAGCUACUUCUAUAGAAACUUUGAGUUGUUUAAACCAAGAUUUACACUGGAGGCUUCAGCAACAGAGGAUGGCUAUGCUUUUUGGUAACUCUAAUGAAGAGACCGUCGUUGUCGAGAGGCCACAGCCGAUUCUUAACCGGAAUCUAGAGAUCGUGAACUCGCCGCCGACGAAGAAAGGAGAGAAUCAGACAGAAUGGUAUUUUGGUAAUAAUAAUGAUAACGAAGGGGUCGUUAGUAACAACGAUAAUAAUAAUAACACAGGAGGAAGUGAUCAAUGGAACAAUGGAAUUCAAGCUUGGACUGAUCUUAAUCAUUAUAAUGCUUUGCCAUGAUUCUUGGUAAGUUAAAGAAACUAUACCUAUGUGAUCAAUAGUAAAAUUAUGUAUCUUAGCAUGUUUACCAAAAAGAUAUUUAAAUGAUGUGUGUUUGUGAUGUAAUGCCAAAAUGUAUUUUUGUUUGGAGUUAGCUUUUGUUGUUGUUGGUUAUGGGGUGGGGUGAAAAAUUCAAGAAUGGAGACAGAUACUACAAUAGAUUCUCUAGGUUUGUGAUUUGUCUGUAUUUUGAAGUAUUUCAAUGUUGGGAAAACUAGAAACAUGAUUUACUGUGCUUAAAGCUUAAUUAUUGGGAGACUCUUCUUGGUUUGGUGGUGAAAGAAAAAAAUCAAUCAUCCAAACACAAUCGUCUCUUAUUCUAUUUUUGGAGAUUAUUUUUCAAUACAUUUAUAUAUCUUAUAUGUAGAUUUGUACUAUGUAUUAAGUAACUGUACCCCCAAAAUGAUGUACCUGGAAUUUAAUACGUAAGUAAAAAUCCAGUUCACUAUGAUCGAUCACUUAAAAAAAUGUUGAGAAUUGUAAGGAAUUAAUUGUCAAAUUUAUAUUAGAAAAGAUAAACUUUACAAAGAUGACAGAAAGUUAAACUAAUGUUUUUUCCUCCUAAACCAUACUUGAUCCUCUCUUAAUUUACCACAAACUAUAAACUUUUUCAAGAUGCUUAAAUGUUUAAACUAGUUGAAAAUUUCGUCAGAGCAACUAUUUUUAUUGAUGUCUUGGACUAAUAUAAUUUUUUUUUACAGAUAGUACGUAUACACAUUGAAUUAUGUCUACACGUUAGAUAUUUCCUGGCGACAAUAACCUAAAAGAUAUACUUGUUAAAUAUAUUUUGAUCCAAUAGUUUUGGUUUCCUUAAUAAAUAUGGUAAGUAUAGCUGCGUGUAUGUACGUAUGUAAAGGAAUAAAACAGUAUAUAUUAUAUAUAGGCCUACGUAUAAAGAUUGGUGCAGUGCACACUCCACACAUAUAAAUAACGUUACCUCAACAAUAGAAACAAGACACAUAACAAAUUCUAUCCGAUUCGUUCCGAUCAAGAACACAGUUAUAUAUGUUCUUCUGUCUUUUCUGCAACUUCUUGUCUCUCAUCUUCUUCUUUUCUUGUCCCUAUUAUCUCGCUCAUCCCUAUCUAUCUAUACGGAUACCAAAACAUUAACUACAAAUGACUCAAAAACUUUUAUCUACAAAGAUUUUUUGUCUAUUAAGGAAAUACAAAUAAAUUAUGAUGAAUUAAUCAAAUGUUAUGAAAGAACAUAACAAUUUUGACAAAGAUGGCGGUUUACAAUUGCCAACAACGUUAGUAUAUAACAUGUUUUCCAACUCUUUGAGAACAUUACUUUGUUGGUCAUCUGGAGAUAAAAGUACAUGUUAAGAUAUUAUAUUAUAUCUGUAUAUUUUUACUAUUAACUUUUGUGUGUGUGAAUAGUUAAUAGGAUCAAAUUUCAUUAAAUAUCUUUUGAAAUGAAUAACAAAACGCUAAAUAAGUGAUUUAGAUACACUAUUUUAAUAAUUUUAAUCAUAUAUAGAUAUAAAUACAAUUGCAAACGCCAACACCAUUCAAAUAAUUAAGUACUUCCAAACUCUUUGAGGUAAAAAACACUUUACUAUUUAAAAUGAUUAAAUCUCAGUAACAAGAAAGUAAUAGUCUUCAAUUGUUUGAAGACGAUAACACUUUUUGUUUACUUCAACUAAAUCAAUAUCUAUAAUAAUUAUAUGCCAAACAAACUUUCUUAAAACAUAAAUUGGACCAUGUGCAUUUGCUCACAUAUACAAAAACAUCUAAGAUUUUUGUAGAAGUACAAAAUUUAACAUCUAUAUAUAAAUAUACACCAUAUGAACCCCUUUUACCAACUGUUAUUCCAUCUCUCUCUUCUCCUGCUAGUUAACCUAUUUCAUUCAAACCAAAAAAAAAAACUGAAAAGGAACAAACUUUUCUUCUUCCCUUGUUCUCUCAUCCCAUCUCAACAUGUCCUCCCAUACCAAUCUCCACUCUCCUAAACCGGAUCACGGUAUCUCCGGUACAUCCCAUACCAAAAAACUACCGUCUUCCUCCAGCUCUCAAGACCAACAAACCCUAAAGUGCCCUCGCUGCAACUCCUCAAACACAAAGUUCUGUUACUACAACAACUACAACCUCUCUCAACCUCGUCAUUUCUGCAAAUCUUGCCGCCGUUACUGGACACGUGGCGGUGCCUUAAGAAACGUCCCCAUCGGUGGCGGUUGUCGGAAAACCAAAAAAUCAUUCAAAC